This 314-nucleotide unclassified non-coding RNA is filed under the name uncultured fungus. RNAcentral's name for it is "partial contains small subunit ribosomal RNA, internal transcribed spacer 1, and 5.8S ribosomal RNA". The stretch from base 1 to 73 matches the Rfam family "Eukaryotic small subunit ribosomal RNA", at positions 1759 to 1831 of the family's 1831-position model. Lineage: Eukaryota; Fungi. The record is from RNAcentral.
GCAAACUUGGUCAUUUAGAGGAAGUAAAAGUCGUAACAAGGUUUCCGUAGGUGAACCUGCGGAAGGAUCAUUACAAAUCCAUCACGUCAUCUCACCAUGACAAUGUUGAACUGUUCCCCUUCGCGCAGAGUGAAUGGCCGCUGGCUGUGGGUGGCAACACCACAACACGUUCAUUCUACUGCGUGAAAACACCUCAAACCAGUGUGACACCUCUUAUUCCAUGAGCGAUGGCUCUUUAAACACAUACCACAAAUAACCUAGAAACAACUUAUAACAAUGGAUCUCUAGGCUCUUGCAUCGAUGAAGAACGCAGC